RNAcentral lists this ribosomal RNA (253 nucleotides) under uncultured bacterium. RNAcentral describes it as "partial 16S ribosomal RNA". It matches the Rfam family "Bacterial small subunit ribosomal RNA", at positions 524 to 776 of the family's 1533-position model. The record is from RNAcentral.
UACGGGGGGGGGAAGCGUUGUUCGGAAUUACUGGGCGUAAAGGGCUCGUAGGCGGCCAACUAAGUCAUACGUGAAAUCCCUCAGCUUAACUGGGGAACUGCGUGUGAUACUGGAUGGCUUGGAUUUGGGAGAGGGAUGCGGAAUUCCAGGUGUAGCGGUGAAAUGCGUAGAUAUCUGGAGGAACACCGGUGGCGAAGGCGGCCUCCUGGACCAAUAUUGACGCUGAGGAGCGAAAGCUAGGGGAGCAAACGGG